Molecule: transfer RNA, 76 nt
Filed under: Pseudomonas amygdali pv. lachrymans str. M301315
Lineage: Bacteria; Pseudomonadati; Pseudomonadota; Gammaproteobacteria; Pseudomonadales; Pseudomonadaceae
Description: tRNA-Glu
Rfam family: tRNA
About the family: Transfer RNA (tRNA) molecules are approximately 80 nucleotides in length. Their secondary structure includes four short double-helical elements and three loops (D, anti-codon, and T loops).
Source: RNAcentral
GCGCCUAUCGUCUAACCGAUUAGGACACCAGGCUUUCACCUUGGGAAUGCGAGUUUGAUUCUCGCUAGGCGCACCA